AUGCUCUUCAGAACAAUGCUAUCACGUUGCAGAUGAGAAAGGCAUCAAAAGAUCUCGCAAACAUAAAUGACAUAUUUACCUAAAUGCUCAGUCUAAUAAUAAACCAAGAAAUUAAAAUACACUAACAGGAAAUAUUGCAAAAUAUGACUUACAGAGGCUAAACAUUGAAGGAAAUUAAGAAAUGCCUAUUUGGAGAAGCCUCUAAUGCCAUCACUUCCACACCAAAGUUAAUGAAAAUCCAAUCAGAACACCAACAGAUGACAGCCUGAUCUUGUAUCUUGUCCAAAAGAGUUUAUAGACAGAAUAAAUCCAUAAGUUGUUCUUCACUAAUGACAGCACAAGGAACAUCUAAAAACUGAUGUCUCACCGCAAAGCUAAAUUAUGAAUUGUGUUUGGUAUAUGUACUUCAAAAUGCCCUGUUCAUGACAGAAAUUCAGCAUUGAGAACAAUUAAAUUCUGUUGAUUCUAAUAAAAAUGU
Molecule: long non-coding RNA, 478 nt
Organism: Zootermopsis nevadensis
Lineage: Eukaryota; Metazoa; Arthropoda; Insecta; Blattodea; Termopsidae
Source: RefSeq, a predicted model, not a curated record